RNAcentral lists this ribosomal RNA (253 nucleotides) under uncultured bacterium. RNAcentral's name for it is "partial 16S ribosomal RNA". It matches the Rfam family "Bacterial small subunit ribosomal RNA", at positions 524 to 776 of the family's 1533-position model. The record is from RNAcentral.
UACAGAGACUGCAAGCGUUAUUCGGAUUCACUGGGCGUAAAGGGUGCGUAGGCGGACAGGUAAGUCAGUGGUGAAAUCUCUGGGCUUAACUCAGAAACUGCCGUUGAUACUAUUUGUCUUGAAUAUUCUGGAGGUAAGCGGAAUAUGUCAUGUAGCGGUGAAAUGCUUAGAUAUGACAUAGAACACCGAUAGCGAAGGCAGCUUACUACAGAAUGAUUGACGCUGAGGCACGAAAGCGUGGGGAGCAAACAGG